ACUCCUACGGGAGGCAGCAGUGAGGAAUAUUGGACAAUGGGUGAGAGCCUGAUCCAGCCAUCCCGCGUGAAGGACGACGGCCCUAUGGGUUGUAAACUUCUUUUGUACAGGGAUAAACCUUUCCACGUGUGGGAAGCUGAAGGUACUGUACGAAUAAGCACCGGCUAACUCCGUGCCAGCAGCCGCGGUAAUACGGAGGGUGCGAGCGUUAAUCGGAAUUACUGGGCGUAAAGCGCAUGCAGGCGGCCUGUUAAGUCAGAUGUGAAAGCCCGGGGCUUAACCUCGGAAUUGCAUUUGAAACUGGCAGGCUAGAGUCUUGUAGAGGGGGGUAGAAUUUCAGGGUGUAGCGGUGAAAUGCGUAGAGAUCUGAAGGAAUACCAGUGGCGAAGGCGGCCCCCUGGAGCAAAGACUAGACGCUCAGAUGCGAAGCGU
This 432-nucleotide ribosomal RNA is filed under the name uncultured bacterium. RNAcentral describes it as "bacterial SSU rRNA". It matches the Rfam family "Bacterial small subunit ribosomal RNA", at positions 335 to 762 of the family's 1533-position model. The record is from RNAcentral.